CCACAAUUUGGGAGGUUACCUCGGGAACUGAGGAUAAUGCCCUAUAGUUGAGAAGGCUUGGAAUAGUUUCUCAUCGAAAAGAGUGUAAUAAAUGGUUUGCAUUUCGCCAUAGGAUAGGACCGCGUUCGAUUAUGGUAGUUGGUGAGGUAACGGCUCACCAAGCCUAUAAUCGAUAAGGGCCAUGAGAGCGGUAGCCCUGAGAUGGGUACUGAGACAAGGACCCAGGCCCUACGGGGUGCAGCAGGCGCGAAACCUUCGCAAUGCGCGAAAGCGUGACGAGGCUACCCGGAGUGCUUCCUGAAGAAGGAAGCUGUUGUCAGUGUUUAACUAGCCUGACGAGUAAGGAGAGGGCAAGGCUGGUGCCAGCCGCCGCGGUAAAACCAGCUCUUCAAGUUGUCGGGACGAUUACUGGGCUUAAAGAGUCCGUAGCCGGUUUAGCAAGUCCUUGGUAAAAUCUGGCAGCUUAACUGUCAGUACGCUAGGGAAACUACUUUACUAGAGGGCGGGAAAGGUCUGGGGUACUUCAGGGGUAGGGGUGGAAUCCUAUAAUCCUUGGGGGACCACCAGUGGCGAAAGCGCCAGACUGGAACGCGCCUGACGGUGGGGGACGAAAGCCAGGGGAGCAAACCGGAUUAGAUACCCGGGUAGUCCUGGCCGUAAACGAUGCGUGCGAGGUGUUGGUAAGGCCACGAGCCGUAUCAGUGCCGUAGGGAAACCGAUAAGCACGCCGCCUGGGGAGUACGGUCGCAAGGCUGAAACUUAAAGGAAUUGGCGGGGGAGCAC
RNAcentral lists this ribosomal RNA (783 nucleotides) under uncultured archaeon. Its description in RNAcentral is "bacterial SSU rRNA". It matches the Rfam family "Archaeal small subunit ribosomal RNA", at positions 109 to 879 of the family's 1478-position model. The record is from RNAcentral.